Molecule: ribosomal RNA, 403 nt
Filed under: uncultured bacterium
Lineage: Bacteria
Description: partial 16S ribosomal RNA
Rfam family: Bacterial small subunit ribosomal RNA
Source: RNAcentral
AUUGAACGCUGGCGGCAGGCUUAACACAUGCAAGUCGAGCGAGCGGCGGACGGGUGAGUAAUGUAUGGGGACUGCCCGAUAGAGGGGGAUAACUACUGGAAACGGUAGCUAAUACCGCAUACUAUCGGAUAACCCAUAUGGGAUUAGCUAGUAGGUGAGGUAAUGGCUCACCAAGGCAACGAUCCGUAGCUGGUUUGAGAGGACGACCAGCCACACUGGGACUGAGACACGGCCCAGACUCCUACGGAGGAAGCAGUGGGGAAUUUUGGACAAUGGGGGAAACCCUGAUCCAGCCAGCCCGCUUGUAUGAUGAAGGCCUUCGGGUUGUAAAGUACUUUUGGCAGAGAAGCGGUAUCUGCAGAAUAAGCACCGGCUAACUACGUGCCAGCAGCCGCGGUAAUAC